GUGACACUCUAAGAGGAUGAAUAGGAUGUUCUAACUGUGACACUCUAAGAGGGGGUGAGUAGGAUGUUCUAAUAGCUAAGGCACCUAACAUAUAUAAAAACUUAUAUUAAUUUCUAUCUAGAUGUGCACUAGAUUUUUCUAUGUGUUGUUAUCUCUACCGCAAAAGAGUUUUGCACCCUAGGUUCCAAUCCUAUAAACUACACAAUUCUAGGAAAGGUAAACGCGGAAUUGUAAGUGUAAUAAGAAAUGCGGAAGGUAAAUGAGGUAGAGAAGGCAAACUCCCGACAUGGCGACACGGCAAUUUUCACCGAGGUAUCGGAAAGCAAAGCUUUCCACUAGUCAUCGUUGUUGGAACCCCUCUCAAAGGGAAUGCCCGUGCAAGGGCAUAAACUCUCCGGUCAAGUAACUCCAUAGGAUAGCCGACGGACCCUCCCCACACGUAAGUGGGUCUCCGCUUAGCCUUUCUCAGAUGCUCCUUACCGCUCUUCACUUGGUAGAGCUUCGGCAAAACGCCGAGGGCCUCUCCUCCC
This 530-nucleotide long non-coding RNA is filed under the name Setaria viridis. RNAcentral's name for it is "long non-coding RNA (SVIR_LNC005182)". The record is from RNAcentral. Lineage: Eukaryota; Viridiplantae; Streptophyta; Magnoliopsida; Poales; Poaceae.